This is a long non-coding RNA of Homo sapiens (human), 2025 nucleotides long. RefSeq annotates it as long independently transcribed non-coding RNA 2874. The record is from RefSeq and is marked validated. Lineage: Eukaryota; Metazoa; Chordata; Mammalia; Primates; Hominidae. The transcript is spliced from 4 exons.
AGAGCGAGAAGAUGAUGCAUGUGAGCCCUGCCCUUGGGAAGCUUCCAGGUUGGGAAAUGAGGAAUGAGCCUGACACCCAGGGCCCAGAGAGACCCAGGACAGAGGCAGGUCAGGAGGCAGACACGCGCUGCUGGGUAAUGACGACAGCACCAGUAAUCACGGCUACUCCUUGUUAAGUACUUACUAAGUGCAAGACUCCAAGCUAAGCAAUUAAUAGACCUUUUCUUGUUUAAUCCUUACCACAAUUCCAUAGGGUUGAGUAGGAAGUCCUUCUUGAAGUCUAAUCUCAAGAAUUCAUGCCAUGGAUUGGGCCAAUGUUCCACCUUUAUUGGAGUCUGGGGACUUAGGUGGAAAAGGCAGAACUGGCUGGUUGGAGGAGCCACCUCCCUGCAAGGGGCCAGGAGGGAGAUUACGGAGGCGCCAAGCCCAGAGCUCCAACAUGCACCUGCCACAGCUCCAGGGGAGAUCGGGGGCCUGCCAAUUUACCCCGCCCCAUGAUCUCAUGGCUGUGUGCGCCAGGCACUGGCUCAGGGAGCAGCAUCUCACAGAGAAGAUACUUGGAUGGGCCACAGGCCAAAACUGGGCCAAAACCCUGGAGAGGGGGACCUGGCUCAAGGCCACACCACAUUUCCAUGUCAUUUUCCAGUGGCACCAACUGAGCUGGACAGAUGUUCUCACAGAGCUACACAUGCCACAGUCAUCACUAGUUGCGAGAGUCUCCAGUGUUCAUUAAGCCUAUUUUGCUGGAAGUUUAGUCCCUGGAGGAUUAGUCCCUGCCCUUAAGGAGUGCCAAAGAAGACUUUGGAAUCUAAGUCACAUCUCCCCUGCUGCAAUUUUUUCCUCUUGAUAAUCAAGGAAUCUCACUGAUAAAACUCUCAAUGAGGAGCAGCUCUCCCCAUGAGCAAGUUCUUGCCUUCAUUGCCAGGGAGGCCCCAGCUAAGGUUAUACUGGGAAAGGAAUCUCUGGGGAGUACCUGGAAGAGGUCAGCUUCUCCUCAAAGGAAGCCUCUCCAGCUGGUGUACUGCAAAGCCUUCCAAGACCAAGUUCCCUCUUCCUGGCCUCUGGAACCAGCCUGUGUGCCAGCGCUGUGUCCCCAGUAACACACAUGAGUCUCUCCCUCAGAAGCCACAGAAGGAUGCAGAGAGAGACCAACCCAGGAUUGAUUCUCAGCACUUACUAAUUGUGUGGACAUAACUGCUCUGGACCUCAGCUUUGCUAUCUAUAAAAUGAGCACCCUUUUUAUAGAUAUGAACACUUUAAGAGAGUCAUAAAGAUUGAAGUUGAUUUGUGCUGCGCCUGGCACAGAGGUCUCCCUCAGUAAAUGGCAGCCACUGCUAUUGGGGUGCCCCAACACCCCUUGCCCCUGCCCACCAUUAGCUUUCACUUAGGCCCACACUGAGGGUGUGGCUGUUGUGUUGGGGGAAGGAAAAAAACCAUGCCUGGGUUGCAGGGCCCCCACCACCAACUGGUCUGCUUUUGUGGGAAGCAUUUUCUGAUGCCCUCGCCCUACCCGUGGGCUGGUUGACUAAGUGUCCAGCAUCAUGAGGAAAAGAGCAGGGUUCAGGGACAGCUUGGCUCAGCCCUGAAACUCAUCUGGGCCUAGGUCCAGAUGAGAGGCAAGCCUGGGAGGCCUUCCGUUGUACCCUUGCCUAUCCUGCAGCACCCUCUAGCCUGCAGGCCGCUCCUGGGUGGCAUAGCACCUUGGAUGUCAGGUGUGGGCCUUCCCAGGCACAUGGCAUGAGGGGGCACUUCUGUGGGUUGUUGGGGGCAGGAAGGGAUGUGUCUCCAGCUGGACUUGGGCUCUCGCAUUUUGGGGCCCAGCCAUGCCAGGACAGCACACAUGGGCGCUUAGUGCGAAUCUCAUGAUGGAGCAGAGGAGGAGCAAAGCAAAACCAGGGAGUCCCCAGGCCCCUGCUUCUGCCCCGCCCAGAGACAGUGGAGCAGGUGUCUCCAGCUUCUUAACCUCAACGCACAGUAAGAAAUACAUUUUACAGCAACCAAUAGACACAUACAUUUACAAAACGA